This 450-nucleotide ribosomal RNA is filed under the name uncultured organism. Its description in RNAcentral is "partial 16S ribosomal RNA". It matches the Rfam family "Bacterial small subunit ribosomal RNA", at positions 330 to 797 of the family's 1533-position model. The record is from RNAcentral.
CGUACACUCCUACGGGAGGCAACAGUGGGGAAUAUUGGACAAUGGGCGCAAGCCUGAUCCAGCCAUGCCGCGUGAGUGAUGAAGGCCCUAGGGUUGUAAAGCUCUUUCACCGGUGAAGAUAAUGACGGUAACCGGAGAAGAAGCCCCGGCUAACUUCGUGCCAGCAGCCGCGGUAAUACGAAGGGGGCUAGCGUUGUUCGGAUUUACUGGGCGUAAAGCGCACGUAGGCGGACUAUUAAGUCAGGGGUGAAAUCCCGGGGCUCAACCCCGGAACUGCCUUUGAUACUGGUAGUCUUGAGUUCGAGAGAGGUGAGUGGAAUUCCGAGUGUAGAGGUGAAAUUCGUAGAUAUUCGGAGGAACACCAGUGGCGAAGGCGGCUCACUGGCUCGAUACUGACGCUGAGGUGCGAAAGCGUGGGGAGCAAACAGGAUUAGAAACCCUUGUAGUCCC